ACGCACGCUGGCGGCAUGCCUAACACAUGCAAGUCGCACGAGACCUUCGGGUCUAGUGGCGCACGGGUGCGUAACGCGUGGGAGUCUGCCCUUGGGUUCGGAAUAACAGUUGGAAACGACUGCUAAUACCGGAUGAUGACGUAAGUCCAAAGAUUUAUCGCCCAAGGAUGAGCCCGCGUAGGAUUAGCUAGUUGGUGAGGUAAAGGCUCACCAAGGCGACGAUCCUUAGCUGGUCUGAGAGGAUGAUCAGCCACACUGGGACUGAGACACGGCCCAGACUCCUACGGGAGGCAGCAGUGGGGAAUAUUGGACAAUGGGCGAAAGCCUGAUCCAGCAAUGCCGCGUGAGUGAUGAAGGCCUUAGGGUUGUAAAGCUCUUUUACCCGGGAUGAUAAUGACAGUACCGGGAGAAUAAGCUCCGGCUAACUCCGUG
RNAcentral lists this ribosomal RNA (432 nucleotides) under uncultured bacterium. RNAcentral describes it as "partial 16S ribosomal RNA". It matches the Rfam family "Bacterial small subunit ribosomal RNA", at positions 29 to 507 of the family's 1533-position model. The record is from RNAcentral.